RNAcentral lists this ribosomal RNA (1164 nucleotides) under Laurencia sp. ARS-2010. RNAcentral's name for it is "SSU rRNA". It matches the Rfam family "Eukaryotic small subunit ribosomal RNA", at positions 77 to 1279 of the family's 1831-position model. Lineage: Eukaryota; Rhodophyta; Florideophyceae; Ceramiales; Rhodomelaceae. The record is from RNAcentral.
UACAACGAAACUGCGAAUGGCUCGGUAAAACAGCAAUAAUUUAUUCGGGGGUAAUUGCUACUUGGAUAACCGUAGUAAAGCUAGAGCUAAUACGUGCUACAAAGGCGAGAUUCGCUCUCGUGGUACUAAGUAUUAGGUACAACCCAAUUUUUUUGGUGAUUCAUACUUAUCUUCUGAUCGCACUCUGUGCGACGCCCCGAAUAAAUUUCUGACCUAUCAACUUCGAUGGUAAGGUAGUGUCUUACCAUGGUUGUGACGGGUAACGGACCGUGGGUGCGGGAUUCCGGAGAGGGAGCCUGAGAAACGGCUACCACAUCCAAGGAAGGCAGCAGGCGCGCAACUUACCCAAUCCGAACUUCGGGAGGUAGUGACAAAAAAUAUCAAUAAGGGGACCGAUGGUCUUCUUAAUUGGAAUGAAAACAAUCUAAACACCUUAUUAAGGAACCAGCAGAGGGCAAGUCUGGUGCCAGCAGCCGCGGUAAUUCCAGCUCUGUAAGCGUAUACCAAAGUUGUUGCAGUUAAAACGCUCGUAGUCGAACUUUGGCGUGAGUUACGGAGGCUCCUAAUGGACGUUGAAGUAACUCCGCCUUUGUGGAGGGGGGUGCGGUGGUACUUUAUUGUAUUGCUGCGCUUCCGCCACUGUUUACUGUGAAAAAAUUAGAGUGUUCAAAGCGAGCGUUUGCCAUGAAUACAUUAGCAUGGAAUAAUAGAAUAGGACCUGAUCCUGUUUUAUUGGUUUGUCUGUAUCAGGUAAUGAUUAACAGGGACGGUCGGGGGCAUUUGUAUUCCAGCGUUAGAGGUGAAAUUCUUGGAUCGCUGGAAGACAAACAGCUGCGAAAGCGUCUGCCAAGGACGUUUUCAUUGAUCAAGAACGAAAGUAAGGGGAUCGAAGACGAUCAGAUACCGUCGUAGUCUUUACUAUAAACGAUGAUGACUAAGGAUCAGCCGUGGCCUAUUGGUACGGUUGGCACUUUCCGGGAAACCAAAGUUUUUGAUUUCUGGGGGGAGUAUGGUCGCAAGUCUGAAACUUAAAGGAAUUGACGGAAGGGCAUCACCGGGUGUGGAGCCUGCGGCUUAAUUUGACUCAACACGGGAAAACUUACCAGGUCCAGACAUAGUAAGGAUUGACAGAUUGAGAGCUCUUUCUUGAUUCUAUGGUUGGUG